GCUCCGGGCUCCAAAAACUGGGGCUUUUUCGGGCACCAACUCGUUGCUGGGCCAGAGUUGGCCAGAGUUGAGAACUGAGCAUUUCACGGGCAGGGGGCGGGGAUGCGGUCACCGACAAUCAACGGUGAAAACACCGAAGUGCCAUUUUUAAACAGCCGAGUGAGUAGUAGUAAUGCUUAGUGUUUGUGUUUUGUAAACCAGUAAAUAUAGAUGCCAAAUCCAAGCAGCAGCACUCUGAGGAAGAAAUCCAGUGCUUCCUAGCACUGUGGUCUUCAUAUGAAAUUCAGUCGAGGGUAGAGGGACCACACCGGUGUUCGAAACGAUCCAGCGGGAGAUGGCUGCAGCCGGUACGAGCGGAGCCUUGACUAACUCCUCAACAAAAUUAAAAAGCUUUAAAAUGACUACAGGGACCAGAAAGGGGAGCUGGGAUGCAGCAGUUGUCGGCCAAAAAGAGCCCCCAUUUUGACCCGCUGCAUUCCGUGAUUCCAGCCGGGUCCCUGAACGCCACAUCGGAGCUGGAGUUGAUGCAGGCCGCCAUACAGACCACUGAUCCUGAUCCUGUUGUCGGCCUUGGAGGAUGAGGUCCAGUUACCAGAAUCACUACUCUGCAGCUCACUGGUCCCGUCCUGCAGCUCAUUCAUGCCAUCCUCCUCUUAACAGACCAAAUCAAGAAAAAGGAAGUGGGAUGCUGCUGUAGAUCUGCUGCAGUAUCUGGAGAGGUCAGAGGAACGGUUCUUGGAACAGAUCAGAAGACACCAAGACCUGACCACUGCCAUGCUCCAGAAUAUCCAGGGACCAAGACCUGACCACUGCCAUGCUCCAGAAUAUCCAGGGACCAAGACCUGACCACUGCCAUGCUCCAGAAUAUCCAGGGACCAAGACCUGACCACUGCCAUGCUCCAGAACAUUCAGAAGACGGAUGAAAAUUCAAACACCUUGGUUGGACUGAUGGGACGUACGGUGUCAGUGCUGGAGCAACUGUCCCAGAAAUAAACUGCAUUGUCCACUACUUCUGCCUUUUCUAGAAAAAAAAAUCUUUUUUUGUAAAUUCUUUUCCUUCUUAGCUAUUUAAGUUCACUUGUAUUUUACUCUUGCACUUUGGGUGAAUAAAAAUAUAUUUGUGAU
Long non-coding RNA from Amphiprion ocellaris (clown anemonefish), 1125 nucleotides. The record is from Ensembl. NCBI's taxonomy places the organism in Eukaryota, Metazoa, Chordata, Actinopteri, Pomacentridae.